This is a long non-coding RNA of Phacochoerus africanus (Common warthog), 2649 nucleotides long. RefSeq lists it as uncharacterized. Lineage: Eukaryota; Metazoa; Chordata; Mammalia; Artiodactyla; Suidae. The transcript is spliced from 2 exons. The record is from RefSeq and is a predicted model, not a curated record.
AGCACCAACAAGGCCUUCAUCUUGUUCCCACUGCUGGCAAAAGCUCCACGGUGCCCACCUUCCUCCAUCAGGAAGCAGUCCAGGACCACAUCCACUGCCCGCCACUGCCUUUCUACUGCAGGGAACAGGCUGGGAGGAACAGGGCUCCGACUACGGUGAAAGCAAGAAACACUCCAGAGAGGACCACAAGGAUGCGGAUGCACUCCGAGCUGCACCUUUGGGCUGUGAUGGGCAGGGGCCACAAGGGGGUUUUUGGGAGGGCUUAGCCCUAGACUCUCCUCAGCCCAUCCCUCCUGUCACCCUUGCCUCUUCCCUUUCCCCACCUUCCUCCCCUACUCCUAGCAAUGGACUGAAUCCUUUCCUAAUCCCUGGGCUCUGCUUCUGCCUCUUCUUCUUAUCCUGCCCCUAGGAGCUUUCUGGCUGGCUUCUCUCCUGGACGCUCCUGUCUGUAUUCGCUCUCUUGGGGUGGGGAGUGGGGGGAAAACUCACAAGACAAGUAGGUGGAGAGAGUUGGGACAGGAACCUGCACGACGUCAGCCAGAGUCUGAGUGUACCGGCUGGUCCUGGCCUCUGGUAUUGCUGGAAAAGGAGACCAGAUGAGUGGCUGCAGGGGGCCCAGAGGGCACAAGGCUAGGCUGAAGGCCGCAGUCACUCUCUACUAAGGAGGCAGAGAUGGGAAGGCCGACAGCCGACUUGGCAAUUUAUACGGGGCUGAGCCUGGGAGAGGGGGUGCUGGUCGAGGUGGGACCCUUAAACAAAGGGUUGCGGAGAAUUUACCUUCAGCAUAAGGUGGGUGGGAGGGUUGUGGGUGUGGGCCUGGGGCCUGGGCUGGACCAUCACACUCUGUACACUCCUUGUCCCUGCACUGCCAGCCCUCAGGGCAGGCACACUUGGCGUUGGCAGUGAGGGUGCAGUUUUGAACGAAAAGACCUAGUGACAGAGGAAGCCAAGGAACACACAAGGUUAAUCUCUCCCCCACUCCUCCAGCCCCAUCCCAGGCCCACCUCCUGGGACCUGCUGUCCUUCCGGUUCCCCCACCACCCCAAGACCUGCCCCUCCCUCACUGUCACCCAGUGCCUUUGCCACUCAUGUUAUUGUUAUUUAAGAGAAACUCGGGCUUUUUAGAAGAUUCAUGUUUCAGAAGUAGAAACAGCUUACAUGAUUUUCUCUCUUACUAGUGCUUUUAUAAUUUCUUAUUGAAUUAUACUUUAGAGAGGUACAUGUGUCAGAAGUGUAAAGCUUGAGAACUGGGAAAAUUGGACUCACAGGUGUAAUGGGCGCCAAUUUAGAAAGCAGUGUUCCUUUCUAGUUUCUAAUGCCUCCUCCCAUCCCCCCAAGAAUAGCAACUAGCCUGACUUUCUAAAACCAUGAGUUGGUUCUGCCAGUUUCUGAACUACAUAUGUGGCAUCAUGUGUGUGUACUCAUUGUGGCUGGCUGCCUUUACUCAGCCAGGUGAUUGCGUGUGAUUGCAAAUCCUUCAUUCUCACUGCUGUAUAGUAUUCCACUGUGUGUGAAUAUGCCACGAAUUAUUCAUCCAUCCUACUGUUAUUGUGCAUUUGGGUAGUUUCCAGUUUUUAGCAAUUAGGAAUAGUGCUGCUGUGGUCCCCUAUAGGUACUUAACUGUACUAGAGAGUAAAGUUGAUUACUGACAUCCUUUGCCUUUAAAAUAUAAAUUGUGUUCAAUGUAGAGGUCAGGUGACUGCCAAUCAGUGAUCCUGGGGGAGAUGGGUAUGAAGGGCAUUGUGUGAGUUGUGUUGAUGAUAGGGGCGUUGAGAAGAGAAGGGUGAUUCUGGGGAAGGCAGUGGGGGGCCUGGUGGGGUCCUAGGGCAGUGCACUCAUGGGAGCCCAGGGACAGGAGCCCUGAUAGGUGGGAGAGGGGUGCAAAAAGGAACAUUCAAGGAUGCCAAAGACUACUAUCAACUCGAACAAUUUCUUUAGCAGUUGCCUUUUGUCAGGAAAGAGUGUAAAUUCCUUCUCUUCCUUAUGCCUCUAUGGCCUCUUGUUUCUGAAUUCUGACUCAUAGUUGUGCCUUACCAGGAAUUGUGAGUCAAUUGUGAGCCAAGGAUCUGCAAGGGAAGAGUGGUGAUGGGAGAGGGAAUGGUGGUGGUGAAAAUAAGAAGGGUAGGAAAGUCAAAGAUCCAGGGGGCUUAACGGGAUGGGAAGGGAAGGAUUAGAGAAGGGCAUUGGUUAAAAAUGGGUGAAGGGUCAUUGUUUUCAGUGAUGAGUCUCCAGAAACUUUGGAGUUCCUUUUACCACGUGUGAUCUGUGCUCAGAAUUCCACAGGGAUUUCAGGCACUUGUCCAUCUUACAGAUGCCUGAGUGCUGUGGGAUGGAUCGAGGGGCUGGCUCACAGAGAGGGUCCAUGGCUUAGGCUUGUCUGGAGCACAGGCAAAGGAGUGCAGACUGGCUCAGGAUCAGGAAAAGGCCUUCCAGUGGGGCCUGCAGAGUGAGGAGGGCGUUUGACUAAAAAAUCCCAAUCUCGCCAGGGUUGUUGCCAAGGAGAGAAAAGUGUCCAUUAACAAUCAUAUUUCUAGGUUAAAUAGACUGGGGAUACUUGUUGUGUAUUAUAGAUGUUGCCAUUUGAUUGAUUUGCAGUGGCAAAACUUUGUAGUUAUUUUAAAGAGUACAGUAUUAAAAUGCCUAAUCAGA